This 877-nucleotide ribosomal RNA is filed under the name Paratylenchus projectus. Its description in RNAcentral is "SSU rRNA". It matches the Rfam family "Eukaryotic small subunit ribosomal RNA", at positions 57 to 947 of the family's 1831-position model. The record is from RNAcentral. Lineage: Eukaryota; Metazoa; Nematoda; Chromadorea; Rhabditida; Tylenchulidae.
GUAUCAGUACAAACCUUCAUAAGGUGAAACCGCGAACGGCUCAUUAUAACAGCUAUAAUUUACUAGACCUUGAGCAACUACUUGGAUACCUGUGGUAAUUCUAGAGCUAAUACAUGCACCGAAGUUGUUCCUUGCGGAGCAAUGCAUUUAUUUGAGCAAAACCAGGCGGCUUCGGCCGUUUCUGUUGAUUCAGAAUAACUAAGCUGAUCGCAUGGGCUUGUCCCGGCGACGUGUCUUUCAAGUGUCUGCCUUAUCAACUUUCGAUGGUAGUGUACGUGACUACCAUGGUGUUGACGGGUAACGGAGGAUAAGGGUUCGACUCCGGAGAAGGGGCCUGAGAAAUGGCCACUACGUCUAAGGAUGGCAGCAGGCGCGCAAAUUACCCACUCUCGGUUCGAGGAGGUAGUGACGAAAAAUAACAAGGCCGUUCUCUUUGAGGCCGGCCAUUGGAAUGGGUACAACUUAAACCCUUUAACGAGUAUCAAUGAGAGGGCAAGUCUGGUGCCAGCAGCCGCGGUAAUUCCAGCUCUCAAAAUGCAUAGAACCAUUGCUGCGGUUAAAAAGCUCGUAGUUGGAUCUGUGCCGGCGACGUGGUCCGCCCUAACCGGCGGUACUGCGCUCGUCGGCUUUGGGCCGGUCUUCGGUCGGUCGCCUUAACUGGCGGCCGCUCGUGGCUGGCUGGUUUACUUUGAGCAAAUCAGAGUGCUCAGCACAGGCGUCUCGCCGGAAUGUUCGUGCAUGGAAUAAUAGAAAAGGAUUUCGGUUCUCUUUUAUUGGUUUUGUGAACUGAGAUAAUGGUUAACAGAGACGGACGGGGGCAUUCGUAUUGCUGCGUGAGAGGUGAAAUUCUUGGACCGCAGCAGGACGGACUACAGCG